Molecule: ribosomal RNA, 303 nt
Filed under: uncultured bacterium
Lineage: Bacteria
Description: bacterial SSU rRNA
Rfam family: Bacterial small subunit ribosomal RNA
Source: RNAcentral
CCUAACACAUGCAAGUCGAACGGUAACAGGAAACAGCUUGCUGUUUCGCUGACGAGUGGCGGACGGGUGAGUAAUGUCUGGGAAACUGCCUGAUGGAGGGGGAUAACUACUGGAAACGGUAGCUAAUACCGCAUAACGUCGCAAGACCAAAGAGGGGGACCCUCGGGCCUCUUGCCAUCGGAUGUGCCCAGAUGGGAUUAGCUUGUUGGUGGGGUAACGGCUCACCAAGGCGACGAUCCCUAGCUGGUCUGAGAGGAUGACCAGCCACACUGGAACUGAGACACGGUCCAGACUCCUACGGGA